This 430-nucleotide ribosomal RNA is filed under the name uncultured bacterium. RNAcentral describes it as "bacterial SSU rRNA". It matches the Rfam family "Bacterial small subunit ribosomal RNA", at positions 329 to 775 of the family's 1533-position model. The record is from RNAcentral.
CGCCAGACUCCUACGGGAGGCAGCAGUGGGGAAUAUUGCACAAUGGGGGAAACCCUGAUGCAGCAACGCCGCGUGGGUGAAGGAGCGUUUCGGCGCGUAAAGCCCUGUCAGCGGGGAAGAAGAAAGACGGUACCCGACCAAGAAGCUCCGGCUAACUACGUGCCAGCAGCCGCGGGAAUACGUAGGGAGCAAGCGUUAUCCGGAAUUAUUGGGUGUAAAGGGUGCGUAGACGGGACAGCAAGUUAGUUGUGAAAGCCCUCGGCUUAACUGAGGAACUGCAACUAAAACUAUUGUUCUUGAGUGCAGGAGAGGAAAGCGGAAUUCCUAGUGUAGCGGUGAAAUGCGUAGAUAUUAGGAGGAACACCAGUGGCGAGGGCGGCUUUCUGGACUGUAACUGACGUUGAGGCACGAACGUGUGGGGAGCAAACAG